This 466-nucleotide ribosomal RNA is filed under the name uncultured bacterium. Its description in RNAcentral is "SSU rRNA". It matches the Rfam family "Bacterial small subunit ribosomal RNA", at positions 26 to 518 of the family's 1533-position model. The record is from RNAcentral.
AGAGCGAACGCUGGCGGCAGGCUUAACACAUGCAAGUCGAGCGCCCCGCAAGGGGAGCGGCAGACGGGUGAGUAACGCGUGGGAACGUACCUUUUGGUUCGGAACAACACAGGGAAACUUGUGCUAAUACCGGAUAAGCCCUUACGGGGAAAGAUUUAUCGCCGAAAGAUCGGCCCGCGUCUGAUUAGCUAGUUGGUGAGGUAACGGCUCACCAAGGCGACGAUCAGUAGCUGGUCUGAGAGGAUGAUCAGCCACAUUGGGACUGAGACACGGCCCAAACUCCUACGGGAGGCAGCAGUGGGGAAUAUUGGACAAUGGCGCAAGCCUGAUCCAGCCAUGCCGCGUGAGUGAUGAAGGCCCUAGGGUUGUAAAGCCCUUUUGACGGGAAGAAAAGCGUGCGGUUAAUACCGUACGUGCUGACGGUACCGUAAGAAUAAGCACCGGCUAACUUCGUGCCAGCAGCCGC